UGACAAAUUCCUUGUAUGUCCAACAUACCCAGCAAAUAUAUGUUUAUUCAUAAGUAUUUACCCCCUUUACUGUAAAACUCCUCAUAAAGAUCUGGUCACAUAAUUAGCAGAUAGGGUCCACCGGUCUGCUAUUUAAUCUCAAGAUAAAUGCACGUGAUCUGUGAAGGCCUCAGAGUCUGUUAGAAAGGGUUACUGAACAAAGAGCAUCACGAAGACCAAGGAGCUGACCCAAGUAUGAAGCAGGGUUAGCUUCUAAAAAACCAUUCCAAGCUUUGAACACUUAUAAAAUCCAUCAUCAACAAAUGGAAAGAAUAUGGCACAACCACAAAGCCACCAAGAGAAGGCCGUCCACCCAAACUGACCGCAAGGAGAAGAUGAAUCAGAGAAGCAACCAAGAGGCUCAAACUGUGGAGGAGCUGCAAAGACACCACCCAUCACCCUGAGCACACCACCCCAACGGGGAAACAGGGUGGUGGUAGCAUCAUGCUGUGGGGAUGCUUCUCUUCAGCAGCUACAGGAAACUAGUCACUGUGAGGGGAAGAUGGAUAGAGACAAAUACAGGGCGAUCCUUGAAGAAAAUAUGAUGCAGUCUGUAAAAGACUUGAGACUUCCAGCAGGACGAUGACCCUCAACAUACAGCAGCGCCACAAUCAAUAGUUUAGAUCAAAGCAUGUUCAUGGUUUAAAGAUUCCCAGUCAAAGAACACACCUCAAUCCAAUUGAGAAUCUAAGGCAAGAUUUGAAAACUGCUGUUCUGAUGCUCUCCAUCCAAUCUGACUGAGCAUCAAGAAGAAUGGAGGAACAUGUGCAAAGCUGGUGGAGACAUUCCCCAAAGGACCUGCAGCUGAAGGUGCAGAGAACCUUCUACCAAGUUUUGAACGGGGACACACGCAUUUAUUUGUCGUUAUUUGUGUCACAAUAUAAAGUAUUUGAUGCCCUCGGAGUACUUUGCAUGUUGUGUUGAUCAAAUGGGAAAAUUCUAUUUUUUUUUCUAAAAUUCUACGUCGUGACGUCAUCGUGUGCAUUCAUCGGCCAUCCGCUCACAGACGACGUUGACGGAGGAAGCCACAUCCGGGUAUGUAGCGCUGCGUCCUCUCCUCCAUCUCCCGCUGCAUCCUCCACCCUGCAGAUAAACAGGAGGACAGACGGACAGACAGACGGACAGACAGACAGACAGCUGGAUCUCUUUCGGCUUCAGGUUCGUUUUCUUCUUUCUCGUGAUCGUAAUUUCAGAUCGGUCCGUUUCUCUUUAACUGACGACAGACAGACAGAGAGACAGACAGAGAGACAGACAGAGAGACAGACAGAGAGACGGGGAGAGAGACGGGGAGAGAGACAGGGAGCGAGACAGCAAAGAGACAGGGGCGAGAGACAGGCAGAGAGACAGGGCGAGAGACAGCAGAGAGACAGGGCGAGAGACAGCAGAGAGACAGGGCGAGAGACAGGCAGAGAGACAGGGCGAGAGACAGCAGAGAGACAGGGAAAGAGACAGCAGAGAGACAGGGCGAGAGACAGCAGAGAGACAGGGAAAGAGACAGCAGAGAGACAGGGGAAAGGCAAUACAAACAUGAACUAAUAUUUGUUAAAUGUUUAUUUAGUUUCUAAAUAAUUAACAUGACAAUUGUCCCUCACAACUUGUUUACUAAUGACCAGACAAUAAUAUCAAUCAGAAUACUAUUACUGAUCAUAUUGUAGUAGUGUAUAUUAUUGAUCAUUUUGUUGUCAAUAAUAUAAAUAUGAUCAAUGAUAAGAUUUAUCUUCAAUAUCAAUAAUAGUGUAAAUAUUUUUAUUGAUAUAAUCACAUCACAUGUCAUUUAUCUGACGCUUUUAUCCAAAGCAACUUACAAUAAGAACAUUUAACCAUAAGGACACAAACUCAGAAGAACAAGAAACAAGAAAGUGUGAUUUCAUAAAUUAAACCGAUAUGAUAUCUGUUAUCUAUAGCAAGUUGUAUAAGUCCAAUGUCAGUGCUGCAGUCAGUUAGUGUGUUAGUGGAGGUAGAGUGUGAAGAGGUGUGUCUUUAGUCUGAAGAUGUGAAGGCUCUCUGUGGUCCUGAUGUCUUCAGAGACCUCCUUCCACCAUUUAGGAGCAGGACAGCAAAGAGUGGAGAUCUAGUCGAGUGUUUUGCUCUCAGUGAGGAGGAACAAGCAGUUUAUCACAUGCAGAGAGGAGAGGUCAGAGGUCGGGAUGUCGGGUUGGACCAGGUCCUGGAUGUGAGCUGGACCCCAUCCAUUCACAGCAUGGUACGUGAGCACCAUGUUUAGAACUGGAUGAGCCACCGGUACCAGUGAAGAGAGCGGAGGAGUGGAGGAGUGAGGGAGAACUUAGGAAGGUUAAAGACCAGUGGAGCUGCUGCAUUCUGGAUGAGCUGCAGAGGUGGAAUGGUGGUAGCAGGAGACCUGCAGGAGAGAGUUACAGUAGUCCAGGAGGGAGACGACAAGAGCCUGAAUCAGUACCUCCUUCUGAGUGAGAAGAGGACGUGUUCUCCUCAUGUUGUAGAGCGAGUAUCUACAGGAUGGUGUUGUCAGUGAUGUUGGAGUCAGGGAGAGUCGGCUGUCGACGUCACGCUGAGGUUCCUGCAGUCAAAGUGGACGUUAACACGGAGUCUCAAAGUUAACAGUCAGGUCCUGUGUAGGAGAAUCUUUUCCCAGAAAGAGAAGUAGUUCCGUCUUGUCGGGGUUGAUUUUCAGAUGGUGGGCGGAUCCACUGAGAGAUGUCAGUCAGACAGGCAGAGAUCCGAGUGAGGGAAGGAGAGGAUUAGUUGGUGUCAUCAGCAUAGCUGUGGUAGGAGAAGCCAUGCGAGCGAAUGACAGCGCAGAGAGAGUUGGUGUAGAGCGAGAAGAGGAGGAGACCCAGGACGGAACCCUGAGGAACUCCAGUAGUAAGAGGACAAGGUUCCGACACAGAUCCUCUCCAGGUUACUCGGUAGGUGCGUCCGUCGAGGUAGGACGAGAGAAGGGAGAGAACAGAGCCUGAGACACCAAGUUCCUGAAGGGAGGAGACAAGGGUCUGCUGGUUGACUGUGUCAAAUGCAGCAGAGAGGUCCAGAAGGACGAGGACAGAGGAGAGAGAGGAGCUCUAGCAGUGUGGAGCUGCUCUGAGACAGCGAGGAGAGCAGUCUCUGUGGAACGGCCUUGAAGCCUGACUGGUGGGGGUCAAGGAGGUUGUUAUGGUGGAGAUAAGAGGAGAGCUGGUUAAAGAUCACACGUUCAAGGGUUUUGGGCAAUCAGGGAAGAAGAGAGACCGGUCUGUAGUUGUGUUCUUCAGACGGGUUGAGGGUGGGUUUCUUCAGGAGAGGGUUGACUCUUCUCCUUCAGAGAAAACAUCCAGAUAACAGAGCGUUGUUGAUGAGACAGGUGAGGAAAGGAAGAAGGUCGGGAGUGAUAGAUUGUAGAAGAUGUGAUGGAAUGGGGUCAAGAGGGCAGGUGGUUGGACGGGCAGAGGUUACUAGGGUAAGAACUUGGUUAGGAGACGGGGGUGAAGGAGGAGAGUGAGGGCGAUAGAGGUGAAGCCAGUGGGACACGAGUAGGAGGAGGUGGGUUUGAGAAAGAGGAGCGUAUGUCAGCUACAGUUGUGCUCAUAAGUUUACAUACCCUGGCAGUAUUAAUGAUUUCUCGGCCAUUUUUCAGAGAAUAUGAAUGAUAACACAAAAACCUUUCUUUCACUUAUGGUUUGUGGUUGGGUGAAGCCAUUUAUUAUCAUUCAACCGUGUUUACGCCUUUUAAAUCAUAAUGAUACCAGAAACUACCCAAAUUACCCUGAUCAAAAGUUUGAAGAAUGAGAUGAUCUUCUUGUUGAUGACAGGAUCUGGAAUGACCGUUAAUUGACAAGCAGGCAGGCAGGAGACAAACUAAUAAGAUGGAGAAUUCGUGACAGAGCUGAUAGAGGAGGAACAGAGGAGGCCGGAGAGGGAGAGAGGGAGGGAAUGUCUCGACGGACUGUUACAGAGUUAGUUCAUGGGUCGCUAGUUAUAGAAAGUGGGAGAUGAAGGAGUGGUGGUAUUGAUUAUAUUUGUAUGAAUAAUAAUAUCAGUAAUAAUGUAAUACUGUAAAAGUAGC
This is a long non-coding RNA of Gasterosteus aculeatus aculeatus (three-spined stickleback), 4057 nucleotides long. The record is from Ensembl. NCBI's taxonomy places the organism in Eukaryota, Metazoa, Chordata, Actinopteri, Perciformes, Gasterosteidae.